AAGCUAACGUGAGAAUGGAUAGUGAUGGUAACCAUCAGCAGACAGUGAAGAGAAGUGAAAACUCAAAAGUGCUCUAAUGCUUUUAUAAAACCAAGUUCCGAUGGCGAGUUGAGAGACAUUAGUUGAUUGUAUUUGUACCAAAUGUAUGAAAGAAAUUGUUGUUCUUGUGGAUAUCAAGAAGAAGGGCGCAGUAAAUAAGAUUGUCAUGUUACCCUCCUAAUCUUGCAGGAUUGCCACCUUCUGCUUCUACAAUUAUAUAUGAACGAGUCAUAGACUCUAACCUGUAUAUACAAAAAUGACACCCAUACCAUAAUUUUAGUACAUUAACUAGUUGGGACUUGUCAAUCACGUUUAACCUGAACAACAGUUCCUUUGGCAGGGUAAGAUUCUGCCAGAAACAACAACAUGCUUCUUUAAAACCUUAAGAUUAUUAAUGCAAUGUAUGUACCAAAAAACCGCAAACCAUUCAAAACAUAAGCCUUAUUUAGCAUCUCUUAGUUUGAAACAUAACACUAUAAGAAAAUACUACUAACCUCAUAAGCUGCAUUCUUCUUAGUAUCUGAUAACGAGGUGUUUCCAAGUCUGAAGUUUUGUAAAUCCUUAAUUUUGUAACUGCCAAAAAAUUAUAUUCUCAUAUUUCUUGACUAAAGAAAAGAUCACAAGCUAAACCAGUUCAACAUCACACCCGUUCCAUAACAAAAACAGUCCUAGAGUAAAAUAUUAUUAUUCUCAAUAAAAUUUUAGAAGUCCUACAGAUUUUAAUAAGAAGUUUGUAAACACUCCAUCCUUCACUAAGUAGUAUAUCCAAUUGAAUUUGUUUUGAGAAAGAGUAAAGUAUCAUACAUACCUUAUGGUUACUACACUUGUUUGUUUCUACAUUGAUACCCAUAACACAAGUGCCUGAAAAAAUAAAUUCAGGUUUACUUAAACAGAAUGAACUCAUCACCAUACCGCAACAUAAAUUUGGAACAUAUGCUUAUAUAUGAUUGUGCUAAUGCAUAUCAUAAUUUUACCCUUAUAAGUUGUUGGAAUAUUUAUACUGUAAAUUUGAAAAAAAAUCCACCAUCUCAGUAAAUGCAUUGGAUAGCGUCUAGAAGUGUUUAGGAGUUAUAACUUUAUCCUAAUUGUUGCAUAGAAGUUUUAGAAAUAAAGGAAUGGUAAUAUCUUAACAACAAACUCUUCUUCACCUAUUUGCAUGCUUCCUUCAUUGCUAGCAGCCACAAGAAGAACAAAAAAUAUAUAGAAAGCAAAGAUGCAUUCCCAUGACUAUUUAUUUAGUAAGUUGAACAUCAAAUGAAUGCAAAUACUCACCCUAUAUCCACUAAACUGAUCAUCAAAUUUGGGGGAAAAUUGUGCCUCCCCAACUCAUUUGCUCCCUGCAAAUAUUCACACAGAUAUUAACAACCACAACUGUGAACAGUACUUAAUCCAAUAGAGAAAAUUUGUUAGUAUAGUUUUUUUGUGUGCAUAUAACUAUAAAUUGGGAACCACUAGGUGUGGCAAACGGGCCGGCCGGAUUGGAUAUGGUUCGGGUUAAAAAUGGGUAAUGAAAAAAACGGAUUAAUUAUUCGACCCGACCCAUAUUUAAUACGGAUAAAAAAUGGGUUAACCGCGUAUAAUAUGGGUUACUCAUAUUAUCUAUGACUUAUUGUAUAUGAUCACUUUUGGGAGAAUUCUUAGUCUCUCUAACUUGAGGAACCCCAAUUUGAGGCUUUACAAAUGUAAAAGUUAGAUCCAUUGAUUAUCCAUUGGUUACUCAUUGGUUAUCCAUUUUGCCACCAUAAGCACCACCCAAAAAGCCAUUUAAGAUUCCCAAUCUGCAAAUGGAGGCAAUGAAGAAUAAACAAUAUACAAGAAAUUAUAGGGAAAAAAGCUUGUUCAGGCUUAGUACUAGAGAAAUCAAGAUUGAACUACUAAUUCUCGUUUCAUACAACAAAGUAAUUUAAAUAGAUUACAAAAGACAAAUAUAGGAAUUUAAAUAUAUGAAAAAACCCCUCCAUUUAUAAUAAUUGGAGAGAUUCCUAAUUCAUUGCUUUGAAUUUGGCAAUCUUUUAAAUUCUUGGCACUUAUCAAUAUAAAUAAAGAAGGGAUUUCCAUUUCACAGCCACACUAUAAUGAUGAAACUGAAAAGAACUAAUUUCGAUCAAGAAUCCUAGGAAAGAAAUGGGAACAAUCGAAAUUAAGAAAAUUAAAAAAACAAAGACUAUGGUGAUCAUACCUUGGCGAUUAUGUUUUUCAAGAGCAGGAGGGACAAGGGUUCAAGGGAUGGUUGGUUAGAGUGGGCAAGGAUUGGGGGAGAUGGAGCGUAUAGUUUUGGGGGAAAAGGGUUUGGAGUCUGAAUUUUGUAGGUUUAAGGAAUUGAGAGAGGCGUAAUAUUUUUCUUCUUUUUUUCGUUUAUCCUUUUUAUUUGUAACUUUACCUUUUAACUUUCUAUAUAUUUGCACCCACAAAGGAGUAUCCAAAUAAGGUAUAAGGCCAUACUAAAUUUUUAUUUCAGAAUUUUAUAGUUACAAUAUUUUAUUUCAAAUAGUUUAUCUGGGGCAAAAUGGUAACUUUUGCUAAAGUAAGCUUCAACUUGCGGCAAAAACAUAUGUUUAGCUAUGAUAUUUUAUCAUAGCAAUAAAUAUGUGACUAUGUCAUUUCGCCAUGAUAAUUAAUUGGAGUUGUUAAGCCAAUUAUUGCCACGGUCUUUUAUCAAUUGAAGAAAAAAAUAUUUAUUUAGCUAUAAUAUUUUGGUUUGAAUAAUUUAUUGUGGCUAAAAGGUUAUUAUUUCUACAGAACUUUAAACGUGUGGCAAAAAGCUUGUGAUUAGCUACAAAAUUUUGUCGUGCCAACAAUUUUGUAGCUAUUUAGGUAAUUAUUGCUACGAUAGUUAGCAAUCAUAGCAAAACUAAGAAAUUAGCUUUGCCAAUUUAAUUUUCGUAGCUAUGAAAUUUUAGUAUUUUAUAAAUAGCUAUGAUGUUUUUAUUUUUGUGGCUAUUGUUAGGUAUUAACCAUGAUUUUUGAAUCUGUAGCAGAGACUUCAUAGUUAUAGAUAUAUUAUGUUGUAGUGAUAUCCUCAAGAAUCUGAAUAAUGCGCUCGGACUGCCCGUCCGUCUGAGGGUGAAAUGUUGUGCUCAACUCCACCCGAGUACCCAUCUCAUGUUGUACGACUCUCUAGAACCGUGAUGUAAACUGUGUACCCCGGUCAGAAAUGAUAGAUACAGGCACGCCAUGAAGUCUCACAAUCUCACGGAUAUAAACUCGAGCCAGCUGCUUGAAAUAAUAGGUAGUCAUCAUAGGAAGGAAAUGAGCCGACUUGGUCAGUCUAUCCACAAUCACACAAAUUGCAUCACACUUCUGAUGAGUCUGUGGGAGUCCAACAAUGAAAUCCAUAGUGAUCCGCUCCCAUUUCCACUCCAUAAUCUCUAACUUCUGAAGCAACCCACCCGGUCGUUGAUGCUCAUACUUUACCUGCUAGCAAUUUAGACACCGAGAAACAUACUCCACUAUGUCCUUCUUCAUUCUACGCCACUAACAAUGCUGUCUCAAGUCCUGAUACAUUUUCGUGGCACCCGGAUGAAUAGAGUACCGCGAGUUGUGAGCCUCCUGAAGAAUCAACUCACGCAAACCAUCAACAUUAGGCACAUAUAACCUGCCCUGCAUCCGUAAUGCACCAUUAUCCCCCAAUAGUGACCUCUUUGGCAUCACCGUGCUGGACCGUGUCCCUAAGGAAAAGCAGAUAGGGGUAAUCAUACUGACGUUCCCUGAAAUGAUCAUAAAGAGAAGACCGAGAGACCACACAAGUCAAUAAUCGACUAGGCUCAGAAAUAUCCAAUCUCACAAACUGGCUGGCUAAAGCCUGAACAUCCAACGCCAUGGGCCUCUCUACUGCUGGUAGAUAAGCUAAACUCCCCAAACUCUCUGCUCGGUGACUCAAAGAAUCGGCCACCGCAUUGGCCUUCCCCGGGUGGUACAAAAUGCUGAUAUCAUAAUCCUUAAGUAGCUCUAACCACUUCUUCUGAUGCAAAUUAAGAUCCAUUUGCUUGAACAUAUACUUCAAACUUCGGUGAGCAGUGUAGAUCUCACAAGGGACACCGUACAAAUAGUGCCUCCAAAUCUUCAAGGCAUGAACAAUAGCAGCUAACUCAAGGUCGUGGAUAGGAUAGUUCUUUUCAAUGCACCUUUAGUUGUCUGGAAGCGUAGGCAAUCACCCUAUGGUCCUACAUAAACACCGCACCGAGGCCAACUCAUGACGCAUCACAAUAAACUGUAUAAGACCCCGAACCUGAAGGCAAUACCAAUACUAGGGCUGUAGUUAAAGCUGUCUUAAUAUUUUGAAAGCUCUCCUCACACUCUUCUGUCCACCUAAACGGAGCACCCUUCUGGGUCAGCCUGGUCAUGGGUGUUGCAAUAGAUGAAAUCUCUUAACAAAUCGACGGUAAUACCCUACCAAACCAAGGAAACUCCGGAUCUCCGUAGCUGAGGAUGGUCUGGGCCAACUCUACACUGCUUCCACUUUCUUCGGAUCCAGUUUGAUCCCUUUACUUGAUACCACAUGACCUAAGAAUGCUACGGAAUCUAAUCAGAACUCACAUUUUGAGAACUUUGCAUAUAAUUUCUUUUCUCUCAAGGUCUAAAGCGCAGUCCUCAGAUGCUGCUCAUGAUCUUCUCGACUCCAGGAAUAUACCAGAAUGUCAUCAAUAAAGAAAAUGAUGAACGAAUCAAGAUAAGACCGGAAUACACUGUGCAUCAAAUGCCUAAAUGUUGUUGGGGCAUUGGUCAGCCAAAAUGACAUAACAAGGAACUCGUAAUGACCAUACCGAGUCCUGAAAGCAGUCUUCAAGAUGUCUGGCUCCCAAAACUUCAAUUGAUGAUAACCUGAACGUAAGUCAAUCUUGGAAAACACUCGGGAACCCUAUAACUGGUCAAAUAGGUCAUCAAUAUGAGGCAAAGGAUACCGGUUCUUCACUGUAACUUUGUUCAACUAGAGAUAAUCAAUGCAUAUGCGCAUGUAACCAUCCUUUUUCUUCACAAACAAGACUGGAGCACCCCAAGGCGAUACAUUGGGCCGAAAGAAGCCCUUAUCAAGCAAUUACUAUAACUGUUCCUUCAACUUCUUCAUCUUAGGAGGGGCCAUAUGAUAAGGAGGAAUAGAGAUAGGCUAAGUGCCCAGCAACAAAUUAAUGUCAAAAUCAAUAUCUCUAUCGGGCGGCAUGCCUGGAAGAUCAGUUCGAAACACAUUAGGGAAAUCCCUCACUACUGGGACUGAAUCAACUAUAGGGGUAUCAAUACUGACAUCUAUCACAAAAGCUAGAUACGCAUCACACCCCUUCUCAACCAUUCGCUGAGCUUUAAGAAAUGAAAUAACCCUACUGGGAGUGUAAUCUAAGGCACCCCUCCACUCUAAUCGCAGUAAUCCUGGCAUAGCCAGCAUCACAUUCUUAGCGUGACAAUCAAGAAUGGCAUAAUAGGGCGACAACCGGUCCAUGCCCAAGAUAACAUCAAAAUCUACCAUGCUGAGCAAUAACCUGGGCGAGCUGACUAAGCCUGCCUGAAUGGACGACCUCUGCCCUGCUAGAACUGACCCCUCGAAGGAGCACUACUAAAGCUACCAGAUCCCCAAGGCUUCUUGGCCUCUCUUUCCUUGCACUCUUGGUGAUGAACCAACUCAAUCUCAUGGACGAUGUAAACAACCUCCUCGAAAGUAGCACCUGUCACCCUCUCCCUAGUAAUGAGAAUUCAAAGCUGAUAUGUGAUGCCAUCAACAAAUCUCUUGAUCCUCUCUCGAUCUGUGGGAACCAACCAGACCGCAUGACGAUCUAACUCAGAGUACAACAUCUCAUACUGCGUCACCGUCAUCUCUCCUAAUGCAACUGCUCGAAGUGCCUGCGCAGCUCCUCUCGGCGAGACUGUGGUACAUACUUCUCUAGAAAGAGAACAAAGAAUUGCUGCCAGGUAAGGGGUACUGCACCAACAGCCCUACGCCUCUCAUAAGCCUCCCACCAAGUGAAGGCAGCCCUAGAAAACUGAAAGGUAGUGAAUGCUACACCACUGGUCUCUAGAAUACCCACUGUAUGAAGCAUCCUCUAGCACUUAUUCAAGAAACCCUGGGCAUCCUCGCCCUCUGCACCACUGAAAGUUAGAGGCUGAAGUCUGCCAAACCUCUCUAGUCGAUGUUGCUUGUCAUCCGGCAUAACUGGUACCACAUAAUCUUGAGCUAGUAUAACCGGCUGGGCUGGAGUUGCCCCCGGUGUUUGAAGUCCCUGCACAACCUGCUCAGGUGUGCGAUAAACGGGAGUCUAGGUGCCUCCCUCGGCUUGAAAAGUAGCCACGGUCGUAGUAACUAAGACCACCUAGGCCAAACCGGUACACACUAAUGAAAUCUGAGCUAAAGCCUCCUGAAGGUCUGGAAUCACAAUAGGCACAGCUUAUGCCUGAGCUGAUGUUGUUGUAGCCUCCACAACUGGGGCAGCUGGUAGAUCUGUAGGUGCUGAACUAGUUCCUCUACCCCUACCACAGCCUCGACCCCAUCCUCGGCCUCUAGUGGCCCCAGCUAGUGGUACUGGUGGUCAUCCAUCCUGCCCGGUAACACGUGUCCUCACCAUCUGUGGGAGAAUGGAAUAACAGAAGUUUAGUACUCAGGUCAACAGACUCGCACGAUACGAGUUUCAAGAAUAUGAUGUUUUUCCUAAAGGUUAUGUAGCCUCCCGAGGAUAAGUACAGAUGUCUCCGUAUCGAUCUGCGAAACUCUACUAAACCGGCUCAUGACUCGUGAGACCUAUAUAACCUAGGAUCUAAUACCAACUUGUCACGACCCCAAAUACUCAGUCGUGAUGGCGCCUGCCACAUUACUAGGAAAGCCAACCCAAACAUCGAUCAUAACCCUUUUUCUUUUAAUAAAUCCUUUUCUAACACAAGUUUAAAUACCAAUUUUUCAUAAGAAGUGAUUAAACAACUAAAAAUAUGCGGAAAUCAAUAAAACAUAAGACAACACAGCCCAAACAUCUCGUGUCACAAGUCUAGAGCCUCUAAAUACAUAACCAACUGUCUAAUACAUCAUAAAUCUAAAAAUGCAGAAAAGAACAAGAUAGGAAGGAGGAAAGCAGGGUUGCGGACGCCAUACAACUACCUUGAAAUCUCCGACAAACUCUAGAUAAGCUGAUGACCCUCACUCUGCCGCUCGGGCACCUGGAUCUGCACACAAGGUGCAGGGAGUACCGUGAGUACGCCAACUCAGUAAGUAACUAAAGUAAAUAAGGUCUGAAAGCAGUGAUGAGCAGUUAAAAAUCAUAUAAAGGAAUAAAUAACAGAAUAACAUAUCAAACUCCACAGUUAAAACCAAUUUUGUCAUAAAAAUCUUCAGUUUCAGUUAGAAUACUUGAAAUUAUAUACUUAGCAAAUUUUUCAAUAGAGGCUUAUUUUAAAAGAAGAGUGAAAUUAGUGAAAAUAUCAUAAAUGGGCCCCUCGGGUAAGGUUUCACUCAGAAUAUAGCCUCUCGGGCAGCCUCUCAGUCACUCGUGACUCAACUCUCGUCACUCAGUACUCACUCNNNNNNNNNNNNNNNNNNNNNNNNNCAACAUGUCUACAUGUCUUAAUUUCUUAUCUGAACUAUGUGCAGCAUGCUUAGUGAAUUCCCCACUUCUUCCUUCGCUUGUACUUAGUCUAAAUUAUAGGAUUUCGUGUGUUAGAUGUUAUUUCUAUCGUUUGAGCUGUGUAUUUACUUUCGAAACUACAAAACAAUAUUCCAGGAGAUCCCCCCUACAUAUUUAAUUUGGUAUUACAGAAUGGUAUUCCGGGAGACCCCCCUGCACAUUUACGUUUGGGACUAUGAGAUGGUAUCUCGGGAGAUCCCCUAUUGUUAUCUCUGUGUACUGAGCUGUUACGUUUCUAUGAUUUCAUUCUUGUUAAAUUUCUAUUUUCACUUUACUGUGAUAUUUAAUUCUGUCUUGUUUUUAUUAUAUACAUAUAUAUAAGUAGGGCCCUGGCCUGACCUCGUCACUACUCGACCGAGGUUAGGCUUGGAAAUUACUAGGUACCAUUGUGGUAUACCCAUGCCCUUUCCUGCACAUGUUUUUCAUGUAUAGAUCCAGGUACCUCCUACCAGCCUUAUUCUUAGUGAGCCGAGACAGCUUUGAAGACUUCAAGGUAUAUUUGUCGCGUCCGCAAACCUUGAAGUCUCUUUUCACUCUUCCCCGUGUCAAACACUUCCUGUAUUUUUCUUUUGUUAGACUCUGGAGUAUAUAGAUACUAUUUUUUUUCUUCUGUAGUUUGUGACUUAUGAUGUUUCGGGUUUUGGAAAAACUGUGUACGCCCAGUGUUUGGUUAUUGUACAUGCCGAGCAGCAUUAUUAUUGGUUAUUCAGUAUCUAAUGCAGUAAGCUAUUUAGUUUGUUUUUAUUAUUGAUAUUUUUCCACAAUUUGUUAGGCUUACCUAGUCAUAGAGACUAGGUGUUGUCACAACAUGUCUCGGAGAGAUGUUUGGGUCAUGAAAAGUUUGUAUAAGAGAUCUAGGUUCAUAGAUAUCGUGAGUCCCAAGCCAGUUUAUUAGAGUCUUGUAGAUCGGUACAGAGAUGUCUGUUCUUCGGGAGGCUAUGGAACUAUUAGGUAAAAAAUUCACUUCUUUUGAUUCCUUGUCGUGUGAACUUGUUGACUUUGAAAAUCUAAACUUCUGUCUUCUAUUCUUUCACAGAUGGUGAGGACACAUGUAGCCGGAGAUGACCAGGCACCUAUUCCCUCUUAUUAGAGCCGCCUGUGGCCGGGACCGGGGCAUAGGCUGAGGGCACCCACGUAUGGCAACUAGAGCACCCGGGAGAGUUUCUAUGUUGGAGCCACAAGUAGCUCCAGUCGGAGCAUAGGCACCAAGACGCCUACUAUUACACCAGCUCUUUAGGAGACCCUUGUACAGUUUCUGAGCAUGUUCGGCACUCUAGCUCGGGUAGGGUUGAUUCCCCUUGAGCCAGCCACAUCUCAGGUUGGGGGAGGAGCACAAACUCCCGCCACUCGCACUCUAGAGGAGAGGGUUCAGGUUGAUCAGAUUCCAGAGGUUAUACCGGUACCAGCUGUAGCCCCAGCUCAGCCCGAGGGUAGGGCAGCAGUUUUAGAUGAGGAGGAGCAUAGGCUCGAGAGGUACUAGAAGUACCACCCUCCUAUCUUCAGUGGUUUGGCGACAGAGAAUCCUCAUGGUUUUCUAGAGGGUGCCACUCUAUCCUCCGUACUAUGGGUAUAGCAGAGUCGAGUAGGGUUUCUUUCACUGCAUUUCAGCUUUGAGGAGUGGCUUAUCAGUAGUGGCGUGCUUAUGAGUUGGGCAGUCCAGCUGAGGCAACUUCCCUUACAUGGACUCAGUUCUCGGACAUGUUUUUUAGAGAGUAUGUCCUUUAGAGCCUUAGGGACAUAUGGCACACUGAGUUUGAGCAGUUGCGCCAUGGUGCUAUGAGUAUUUCAGAGUAUGCAAUCCAUUUAAGUGACUUGGCUAGACAUGCACCGGACUUGGUUUCUAUAGUUUGAGAGAGGGUCCAUUGGUUUAUUGAGGGACUCCAUCCCAGCAUCAUGACUAGUAUGGCCCGAGAGUUAGAAAUGGAUAUCUUGUAUCAGAAGGUUGUGAGUAUUGCCAGGAGAGUGGAGGACAUGUUUGUUCGAGAGAGAGAGGAGAGAGAGUCCAAGAGGUCUCGAGAGUCUGGCUAUUUUUCUAGUGCUCGUGCCCCAGCUGCAAUUUGACAUGGUCAUCCGCUAGUGGUGUUUGAGCCCCUUCUAGGCCUCAAGAGCCUUAUUAUGUACCUCCAGUAUUUAGUGUGCCUCCUCCACGAGGUGCUUUUAGUGGUCCGUCCAGCAGACUUGGCCCGAGCCAGCCACAGCAGCCACGCCCUCCUAGAACUUGUUUUUAAGUGGAGACACUUGCCAUAUGGUAAGGGAUUGCGCCAGACUUAGUAAUGGUGCACCUCCACAAACUUCUCAGCCACAACAUGCUCCACUGGGUCCUUAGGCCAUAAUUCCAGCACCAGCUACUACCCCAACUGCUCAGCCAGCUCGAGGUGGAGGUUGGGGAGGUAGAGGUCACCCUAGAGGGGGAGGCCAGGCUAGGUACUAUGCCCUUCCUACUCAUACAGAGGUAGUUGCUUUCGAUUCUAUCAUUACAGGUAAUGUUCUAGUAUGUCAUAGAGAUGCAUCGGUUCUAUUCGAUCCAGACUACACUUAUUCCUAUGUGUCAUCUUAUUUUUCCCCAUAUUUGGGCAUAUCUCGGGAUUCUUUGAGUUACCCUGUUUAUGUAUCUACUAUUGUGGGAGAUUCUCUUAUUAUGGACCGCGUGUAUCGAUCAUGUUUGAUUACUCUUAGUGUUUUUGAGACCAGAACUUAUUUAUUAUUGCUCAACAUGGUAGACUUUGAUGUGAUCUUGGGCAUGGAUUGGUUGUCGCCCCAUUAUGCAAUUCUUUAUUGUCACGCCAAGACUGUCACGCUGGCUAUGCCAGGUUUAUAGCGAUUAGAGUUGAGGGGUACCUUAGAUUACACUCCCAGUAGAGUUAUUUCAUUUCUUAGAGCUCAACGAAUGAUUAAAAAGCGGUAUAAUGCGUAUCUAGCCUAUGUGAGAGAUGCCAGUAUUGAUAAACCUACAGUUGAGUCAGUCCCAGUGGUGAGGGAUUUCCCUAAUGUAUUUCCAGCUGAUAUUCUGGGUAUGCCACCUAACAGAGAUAUGGACUUUGGUAUUGAUUUUUUUCCAGCACUCAGCCUAUCUCUAUUCAUCCUUAUUGUAUGGCUCCUCAUGAGUUGAAGAAAUAGUUAUAGGAAUUGCUUGAUAAGGGCUUCAUUCGUCCCAAUAUGUCACCUUGGGGUGCUCCUGUCUUGUUUGUAAAGAAAAAGGAUGGUUCUAUGCGAAUGUGCAUUGAUUAUCGCCAGUUGAACAAAGUCACAGUGAAGAACUGGUAUCCUUUGCCUCAGAUUAAUGACCUUUUUGAUUAGUUAUAGGGUGCCUGAGUGUUUUCCAAGAUUGAUUUGCAUUCAGGUUAUCAUCAGUUGAAGAUUCGGGAGGCAAAUAUCCCGAAGACUGCUUUCAGGACUCGGUAUGGUCAUUAAGAGUUCCUUGUGAUGUCAUUUGGGCUGACCAAUGCCCUAGAAGCAUUUAUGCAUUUGAUGCACAGUGUAUUUCGGCCCUGUCUUGACUCAUUCAUCAUUGUCUUUAUUGACGACAUUCUGUGUACUCCCGGAGUCGGGAGGAUCAUGAGUAGCACCUGAGGAUUGUGCUUCCGACCUUGAGAGAGAAGAGAUUAUAUGCAAAGUUCUCAAAAUGUGAGUUCUGGUUAGAUUCCAUGGUAUUUUGGGUCACGUAGUGUCAUGUAAAGGGAUAAAGGUAGAUUCGAAGAAGGUGGAAGCAGUGCAGAGUUGGACCAAACCGUCCUCAGCUACAGAGAUUCGGAGAUUUCUUGGUUUGGCAAGGUUUUAGUGUUGAUGUGCUGAGGGAUUCUCAUCUAUUGCAGCACAUAUGACCAGGCUGACCAAGAAGGGUGAACCAUUUAGGUGGAUAGAGGAGUGUGAGGAGAGCUUUCAAAAGCUCAAGACAACUUUGACUACAGCCCCAGUAUUGGUAUUGCCUAUAGGUUCGGGGUCGUAUACUGUUUAUUAUGAUGCGUCACGAGUUGGCCUCAGCACAGUGUUGAUGCAGGACCGUAGGGUGAUUGCCUACAUAUACAGAAAUCGAAGGUGCAUGCAAAGAACUAUCCUAUCCAUGACCUUGAGUUAGCAGCUAUUGUUCAUGACUUGAAGAUUUGGAGGCACUAUCUUUUCGGUGUCUCUUGUGAGAUCUACACUGAUCGUCGGAGUUUGCAGAAUUUGUUCAAGUAGAAGGAUCUUAAAUUGCAUCAUCGGAGGUGGUUAGAGCUGCUUAAGGACUAUGAUAUCAUAAUUCUAUACCAUCCCAGCAAGGCCAAUUUGGUGGCCGGUGCCUUGAGUCAUAGGGCAGGGAGUUUGGGGAGAUUAGCAUAUUUGCAAGUAGUACAGAGGCCAUUGACACUAGAUGUUCAGGCCUUAGCCAACCAGUUUGUUAGAUCGGAUAUUUUUUAACCAAUUCAAGUUUUGGCUUGUGUGUUCUCCCAGUCUUCUAUUUAUGAUCGUAUCAAGGAGCGUCAGUAUGAUGACCCGUAUCUGCUCGUCCUUAAGGACACGGUUCAGCACGGUGAUUCUAAGUAGAUCACUAUUGGGGAGGAUGUUGCUUUGAGGAUGCAUGGUAGGCUAUGUGUGCCCUAUGUAGACGAGUUGCAUGAGUUGAUUCUUCAGUAGGCUCACAGCUCGCGGUACUCCAUUCAUCUGGGUGCCAUGAAUAUGUACCAGGACUUGAGGCAGCAUUAUUAGUGUUGUAGAAUGAAGAAGGACAUAGCGGAAUAUAUAUCCUGGUGUCUAAAUUGCCAACAGGUAAAGUAUGAGCAUCAACGGCUGAGUGGAUUGCUUCAGAAGUUAGAGAUUCCGGAGUGGAAAUGGGGGCAGAUCACUAUGGAUUUCGUUGUUGGACUCCCACGGACUCGGCAAAAGUUUGAUGGAGUAUGGGUGAUUGUGGAUAGGUUGACAAAGUCAGCUUAUUUCCUUCCUAUGAUGACUAGUUAUUAUUCCGAGCAGCUGGCUCGAGUUUAUAUUCGCGAGAUUAUCAAAUGUCAUGGAGUGUCGGUAUCUAUCAUCUCUGACCAGGGUACGCAGUUUACAUCACAGUUGUUUAGGGCCGUACAGCAAGAGUUAGGUGCUCGGGUGAGUUGAGCACAACAUUUCUCCCUCAAACGGACGGGCAGUCCGAGCACACUAUUCAGAUUUUAGAGGAUAUGUUCCAUGCGUGUGAUGGAGUUUGGAGGUUCUUAGGAUCAGUUUUUGCCCCUUGCGGAGUUUUCCUACAAUAGCAGUUAUCAGUUCAGCAUUCAGAUGGCACAGUAUGAGGCUUUGUAUGGUAGGCAGUGUCAGUCCCUAAUGUGUUGGUUCGAGCCGAGCGAGGCUAGAUUAUAGGGCACAGACUUGGUUCAGGAUGAUUUGGAGAAGGUUAAGGUGAUACAGGAUACACUUCGCACAGCUCAAUCCAGACAGAAAAGUUAUACAUAUUAGAAGGUUCGCGAUGUUGCACUAAUUGUCGGAGAGCAUGUCCUACUCCGAGUUUCGCCUAUGAAAGGAGUUAUGAGUUUCGGAAAGAAGGGCAAGCUGAGCCCAAGGUAUAUUGGUCUCUUUGAGGUGUUGCGGCGUGUUGGAAAGGUUUCUUAUGAGCUUGACUUACCUCCUAGCCAAGUAGGAGUUCAUCUGGUAUUUCAUCUUUCGAUACUCUGGAGAUAUCACGGCGAUUUGUCUCACGUGUUGGAUUUUUGUUCAGUCCAGUUGGACAAGUAUCUAUCUUAUGUUGAGGAGCCAGUGGCUAUUUUGGACAGGCAGGUUCGAAGAUGAGGUCAAAGAACAUUGCAUCAGUGAAGGUUUAGUGGCGAGGUCAACCCAUCGAAGAGGCGAUUUGGGAGACCGAUCAGGAUUUGCGCAGCCGUUAUCCUCAUCUUUUCACCAAUUUAGGUAUGUCUCUAUGCUCGUUCGAGUACAAAUGAUUAUUUUAAGAGGAGCAGGAUGUAACGACCCGGUCGGUCGUUUUGAGAAUUAUAGCCCCGAUCCCCUAUUAAUUGCUUCCCUCAUAUAUUUCUAUUAGUGUGACUCGAUGGGAGGUUUCAUUUUGGUUUUUGGAACGUUUUGGGCCACAAUCCCUAAAUGGAGGCUUAAUCUUAGGAUUUUGACCGUAUUCAAAACUGUGUGAAGACGACUCCGGAAUGGAGUUUCGUCGAUUCCGUUAGAUCGGGUGGGUGAUUUUGGGCUUAGGGGCUUGUUCGGAUUGUAUUUUGGAGGUCUGUAGCUUAUUUAGGAUUGUAUUUAGCCUAAAUAAGCUACAAACCUCCAAAAUACAAUCCGAACAUUCCUCUAAGCCCAAAAUCACCCACCGGAUCUAACGGAAUCGACGGAACUCCAUUUUGGAGUCGUCUUCAUACAGUUUUGACUAUGUUCCAAAUCCUAAAACUAAGCCUCCAUUUAGGGACUGUGUCCCAAAACACUAUUAAAACCAAAAUGAAAUCUCCCAGCAAGUCACACUAGUAGAAAUAGAUACGAGGGAAGCAAUUAAUAGGGGAUCGAGGCUAUAAUUAUCAAAAUGACCAGUCGGGUCGUUACAUCCUGCCCCUCUUAAAAUAAUCAUUCGUCCUUGAAUGAGCAUUAAAACAUACCUAAAGUGGUAAAUUGAUGAGGAUAUCGGUUGCGCAUAUCCUACUCGGUCUCCCAAGUCGCCUCCUCGGCGGGCUGACCCCGCUACUAAACCUUAACUGAUGCAAUGUUCUUUGACCUCAACUUUCGAACUUGCCAGUCCACAAUUGUCACUGGCUCCUAUACAUAGGAUAGAUCCUUGUCUAACUAGACUGAACUGAAAUCAAACACGUGAGACGGAUUGCCAUGAUAUAUUCAGAGCAUCGAAACAUGAAAUACCGGUUGAACUCGUGCUACUGUAAGGUAAGUCAAGCUCAUAAACAACCUUCCCAACACGCCACAACAUCUUAAAAGGACUAAUAAACCGUGGGCUCAGCUUGCCCUUCUUUCCAAACCUCAUAACGUCUUUCAUAGGCAAAACCCGGAGCAGGACCCGCUCUCCGACCAUGAAUUCCACAUAGCGAAUCUUCCAAUCCGCAUAACUCUUCUGUCUGGACUGGGCUGUGUGAAGUCUAUCCUGAAUCACCUUAACAUUUUUAAGGCAUCCUGAACCAAGUCUGUACCCAAUAAUCUGGCCUCGCCCGACCCGAACCAACCCACUGGAGACCGACACCGCCUACCAUACAAAGCCUCAUACAGUGCCAUUUGAAUGUUGGACUGAUAAAUGUUAUUGUAGGCAAACUUCACAAGGGGCAAAAAAUAAUCCCAAGAACCCCCAAACUCCAUCACACACGCACGAAGCAUACACUACAACAUAAUGCAUCUAUAGCUACGAAAUACAUAGUAGCUAAAUAUGAAAAUUUUCGUGGCAAAACACUUUAGCCACAAUAUUUUUUUUUCUGUAGCUUUCGUAGCAAAUGUAGCGUAGCUUAAAGUUAGCUACAAACUUUACAUGAUCCGUGGCUGAAGACUAAUACUUAUUGCCACGAAUUUUUUUUAUGUUGUAGCUAUGAUGGUAAAAAUUUCUUGCCAUAAAAAAUAUACCUGUAGCAAGUGAUUUUAUUCUUUUGCCACGAUAUAAAAUUUUGUAGCUAUUUUCAUAUUGUAGCAACAAGAUUUUGUGUUGUAGCAAAAGAUUUAAUUUAUUUUCCAUGCAAGCUCAACUUUUGGGGCUAAAUUUAUAAUUUACUCUCGUGGCAAUAGUACUUGUGUUUAGCUAUGAAUUCAAAGUUCAUAGCAAUAAAUUAAAGUAUUUGCCACAAUAAUUUUUAUAUUGUAGCUAAGGAUUCAUAUUUUUAGCUGUGAAUUCCAUAAUUUCGUAGAAAUAAACUGAAGAAUUUGCCACGAUCAGCUAUAGCCACAAGAAUUUAUAUAUCGGAGCUAACAAUCCAUAGUUUAGCAUCAAUAUAUAAAUUUUUUGCAAAAUAUUUUCAAUUGUUUUAGUAAAUGAUAUACAUUAGUAAGAAUACAUAAUUAAAGGUUCAACAAUAUCAUUCAAGAUAAAUUAAAAUACUAAAAUAUUGUUAUACUCACAAUGUAACGGUAUUCUUUUACAAGAGAGAAUAAUUUCAUACAUAACUCUUUUACAGUACGAAUAAUAAAAUUUUUAAAAAAACAAGCUAACGUGAGAAUGGAUAGUGAUGGUAACCAUCAGCAGACAGUGAAGAGAAGUGAAAACUCAAAAGUGCUCUAAUGCUUUUCUAAAACCAAGUUCCGAUGGCGAGUUGAGAGACAUUAGUCGAUUGUAUUUGUACCAAAUGCAUGAAAGAAAUUAUUGUUCUUGUGGAUAUCAAGAAGAAGGGCGCAGUAAAUAAGAUUGUCAUGUUACCCUCCUAAUCUUGCAGGACUGCCACCUUCUGUUUCUACAAUUAUAUAUGAACGAGUCAUAGACUCUAACCUGUAUAUACAAAAAUGACACCCAUACCAUAAGUUUAGUACAUUAACUAGUUGGGACUUGUUAAUCAUGUUUGAACUGAACAACAGUUCCUUUGGCAGGGUAAGAUUCUGCCAGAAACAACAACAUGCUUCUUUAAAACCUUAAGAUUAUUAAUGCAAUGUAUGUACCAAAAGACCGCAAACCAUUCAAAACAUAAGCCUUAUUUAGCAGCUCUUAGUUUGAAACAUAACACUAUAAGAAAAUACUACUAACCUCAUAGCUGCAUUCUUCUUAGUAUCUGAUAACGAGGUGUUUCCAAGUCUGAAGUUUUGUAAAUCCUUAAGUUUGUAACUGCCAAAAAAUUAUAUUCUCAUAUUUCUUGACAAAAGAAAAGAUCACAAGCUAAACCAGUUCAACAUCACACCCAUUCCAUAACAAAAACAGUCCUAGAGUAAAAUAUUAUUAUUCUCAAUAAAAUUUUAGAAGUCCUACAGAUUUUAGUAAGAAGUUUGUAAACACUCCAUCCUUCACUAGGUAGUAUAUCCAAUUGAAUUUGUUUUGAUAAAGAGUAAAGUAUCAUACAUACCUUAUGGUUACUAUACUUGUUUGUUUCUACAUUGAUGCCCAUAACAGAAGUGCCUGAAAAAAUAAAUUCAGGUUUACUUAAACAGAAUGAACUCAUCACCAUACCACAACAUAAAUUUGGAGCAUAUGCUUAUAUAUGAUUGUGCUAAUGCAUCUCAUAAUUUUACCCUUAUAAGUUGUUGAAAUAUUUAUACUGUAUAUUUGAAAAAAAAAAAUCCACCAUCUCAGUAAAUGUAUUGGAUAGCGUCUAGAAGUGUUUAGGAGUUCAUUGGAUAGCGUCUAGAAGUGUUUAGGAGUUAUAUCUUUAUCCUAAUUAUUGCAUAGAAGUUUUAGAAAUAAAGGAAUGGUAAUAUCUUAACAACAAACUCUUCUUCACCUAUUUGCAUGCUUCCUUCAUUGCUAGCAGCCACAAGAAGAACAAAAAAUAUAUAGAAAGCAAAGAUGCAUUGCCAUGACUAUUUAUUUAGUAAGUUGAACAUCAAAUGAAUGCAAAUACUCACCCUAUAUCCACUAAACUGAUCAUCAAAUUUGGGGGAAAAUUGUGCCUCCCCAACUCAUUUGCUCCCUGCAAAUAUUCACACAGAUAUUAACAACCACAACUGUGAACAGUACUUAAUCCAAUAGAGAAAAUUUGUUAGUAUAGUUUUUUUGUGUGCAUAUAACUAUAAAUUGGGAACCACUAGGUGUGGCAAACGGGCCGGCCGGGUUGGAUAUGGUUCGGGUUAAAAAUGGGUAAUAAAAAACGGAUUAAUUAUCCGACCCGACCCAUAUUUAAUACGGAUAAAAAAUGGGUUAACCGGCGGAUAAUAUGGGUUACCCAUAUUAUCCAUGACUUAUUGUAUAUGAUCACUUUGGGAGAAUUCUUAGUCUCUAUAAUUUGAGGAACCCCAAUUUGAGGCUUUACAAAUGUAAAAGUUAGAUCCAUUGGUUAUCCAUUGGUUACUCAUUGGUUAUCCAUUUUGCCACCCCUAAGCACCACCCAAAAAGCCAUUUAAGAUUCCCAAUCUGUAAAUGGAGGCAAUGAAGAAUAAACAAUAUACAAGAAAUUAUAGGGAAAAAAGCUUGUUCGGGCUUAGUACUAAAGAAAUCAAGAUUGAACUACUAAUUCCCGUUUCAUACAACAAAGUAAUUUAAACAGAUUACAAAAGACAAAUAUAGGAAUUAAAAUAUAUGAAAAAGCCCCUCCAUUUAUAAUAAUUGGAGAGAUUCCUAAUUCAUUGCUUUGAAUUUGGCAAUCUUUUAAAUUCUUGGCACUUAUUAAUAUAAAUAAAGAAGGGAUUGCCAUUUCACAGCCACACUAUAAUGAUGAAACUGAAAAGAACUAAUUUUGAUCAAGAAUCCUAGGAAAGAAAUGGGAACAAUCGAAAUUAAGAAAAUUAAAAAAACAAAGACUAUGGUGAUCAUACCUUGGCGAUUAUGUUUUUCAAGAGCAGGAGGGACAUGGGUUCAAGGGAUGGUUGGUUAGAGUGGGAAAGGAUUGGGAGAGAUGGAGCGUAUAGUUUUGGGGGAAAUGGGUU
Molecule: long non-coding RNA, 18086 nt
Filed under: Nicotiana tabacum (common tobacco)
Lineage: Eukaryota; Viridiplantae; Streptophyta; Magnoliopsida; Solanales; Solanaceae
Description: long non-coding RNA (NTAB_LNC004648)
Source: RNAcentral